Long non-coding RNA from Vespula vulgaris, 647 nucleotides. RefSeq lists it as uncharacterized. The record is from RefSeq and is a predicted model, not a curated record. NCBI's taxonomy places the organism in Eukaryota, Metazoa, Arthropoda, Insecta, Hymenoptera, Vespidae. The transcript is spliced from 4 exons.
AUGUAACUACGUGGUAUGACUGUUAACCGGAAAUUCAAAAAGUAAAGAAUUGAAUAAUUUGCAUUAUAGGUAAUUAUAUAGAUGUUAUAUGAAUUUCUGUGUUAAGGUUCACUGAGAAAAUGUAAUCCUACAGAUUCUAUAUGUCUUUCUCGAUCAGGGUUAACCGAGAAAGAUAAUGUAACAAAAUGGUAUGACCGUUAACCGGAAAUUCAAAAUGAAAAAAAUUUUACAAUUUGCCUCAUAGGUAAUUACACAGAUUUUAUAUUGCUUUCUCGUCCAAGGUGAACCGAGGAAAACAGUGUAACAACACGGUAUCACCGUUAACCUGAAAUUAAAAAUGAAAAAAAUUUUACAAUUUGCAUUAUAGAUAAUUAUGCGGGUAUUACAUGGAUUUCCCGGUAACGGAGAAACGAGAAAAGCUGUAUAACACCGUGAUUUCUCUCAUAUCGUUAACCGGGAAGAACUGUGUAAAAUUCCGUAUGAUCGUUAACUCCGAAUUGAAAAUAAAAAAAAUUUUCUCGCUUCAUUCUAUGUAAUUAUACAGAUUUAAAUGAAUUUUUCGGAUAAGGUUAACCAAGGAAAAUUUUGUAACAACGUGAUAUGAUCGUUGACUAGAAAUUCAUAACGAAAAAAAUUUACAAUCUGCA